GUAGGUGGCAAGCGUUGUCCGGAAUUAUUGGGCGUAAAGCGCGCGCAGGUGGUUCUUUAAGUCUGAUGUGAAAGCCCCCGGCUCAACCGGGGAGGGUCAUUGGAAACUGGGGAACUUGAGUGCAGGAGAGGAAAGUGGAAUUCCACGUGUAGCGGUGAAAUGCGUAGAUAUGUGGAGGAACACCAGUGGCGAAGGCGACUUACUGGCCUGUAACUGACACUGAGGCGCGAAAGCGUGGGGAGCAAACAGGGAUUAGAUACCCUGGUAGUCCACGCCGUAAACGAUGAGUGCUAAGUGUUGGGGGGGUUUCCCGCCCCGUCAGUGCUGCAGCUAACGCAUUAAGCACUCCGCCUGGGGAGUACGGUCGCAAGACUG
Molecule: ribosomal RNA, 375 nt
Filed under: uncultured organism
Description: partial 16S ribosomal RNA
Rfam family: Bacterial small subunit ribosomal RNA
Source: RNAcentral